Non-coding RNA from Potamilus streckersoni, 72 nucleotides. The record is from the annotation of a GenBank genome assembly. NCBI's taxonomy places the organism in Eukaryota, Metazoa, Mollusca, Bivalvia, Unionida, Unionidae.
ACUCCAGUGGCCUAAUGAUUAGAGCGUCCGCCUCGGAUGCGGAAGGUCAAGGAAUCGAUCCUUGGUCGAGUC